RNAcentral lists this ribosomal RNA (725 nucleotides) under uncultured eukaryote. RNAcentral's name for it is "bacterial SSU rRNA". It matches the Rfam family "Eukaryotic small subunit ribosomal RNA", at positions 671 to 1426 of the family's 1831-position model. The record is from RNAcentral.
GGUGAGUACUGGUCUUGGUGGGGACUUUACCUCUUGGUGAGUGGGCAUUUCCUUUAUUGGAUGUGUUCAGAACCAGGACAUUUACUUUGAGAAAAUUAGAGUGUUCAAGCAGCGAUUGCCCGAAUAUACUAGCAUGGAAUAAUAGAAUAGGACGUGCGCUCCUGAUUCGUUGGUUUCUAGAGCGCGUAAUGAUUGAUGGCGGUAGUUGGGGGUAUUUGUAUUCAGCUGCUAGAGGUGAAAUUCUUGGAUUUGCUGAGGACAAACUACUGCGAAAGCAUUUACCAAGAUGCACGCUUCGGUCAAGCACGAAGAAUGGGGGGUCAAAAACGAUCAGAUACCGUUGUAGUCCCAUUAGUAAACGAUGCCGACUAGGGAUUGGACAAGAAUAUUAAUGACUUGUCCAGCACCUGAAGAGAAAUCUUUAAGUUUAGGUUCGGGGGGGAGUAUGGUCGCAAGGCUGAAACUUAAAGGAAUUGACGGAAGGGCACCACCAGGUGUGGAGCCUGCGGCUUAAUUUGACUCAACACGGGGAAACUCACCAGGUCCAGACACAAUUAGGAUUGACAGAUUGAUAGCUCUUUCAUGAUCUUGUGGUUGGUGGUGCAUGGCCGUUCUUAGUUGGUGGAGUGAUUUGUCUGGUUAAUUCCGAUAACGAACGAGACCUUAACCUGCUAAAUAGCCCAGCUGGCUUUUGCUGGUUGCUGGCUUCUUAGAGGGACUAUCGG